CCAAUGUUGUCUCGACUUCUCGAGGCAGGACCCUCCCAGUUUUCUUGCCCCAUUGGGUUCAUGGUCACUGCAGACCCAGCCUUCUAGUGCACCCCUCUCUGCUGCCACUUCCUGUUCCCUCUGGCACCACUGCCUCAUCAAGCACAGUGGACGUGAUGGUGCCCACUGGAUGCCAGCCCGUCUCUGCAGAUGUCAAGGUGUCAGAGCUCAGUGAGGAGGAUGUCACCGUGUCCUACAUGGGAGAUGAGCUGGACCUGAAGACAGUGGGGGACAUCAUCGCCAUCAUUGAAGACAAGGCAGAUGAGACUGCAGAGGCGUUGGAUGCAGCUGCAGUCGAGGCUGCUCUGUCACUGUGUGAAGAGAACAGCCAUGCUUUGUCUAGUGCCUGGGCGGCUGGGCCUUUCCAGCCCCAUGACCCUCACCCUGCAGUGCCCACAGGGGUCCAACAGUCCUCUAAUCCAAACAGUAGCCUGGAGGGAAAGAAAGAAGUGUUCCAAGCUCAGGGUGAGACUUCUGCUUCUCUGCCCCCUCUGUGCAACAGUCAAGAUAACUGUUUUGCAGCUUUCCCUGUGGGACUAAGGGGCCCUCCUCCCACCUCUUCAUCCUCAUGCAACUCAAAGAGAUUGGAGCAUUGUCACAAUGGAGCAACUCCACAGCCAGUGGCAAUGAUAGGAACUGGAGAAAUGUGCACCGGAAAAGCCAGAUUUCAUCAAAUGUAACCAUAAAAUGUGAGAGGGAGAAGUGGACACAUCAAAGGCCUAUAAAUCAUCUGGAGACUCAGUGUUGGCGGAGGAGCCCAUUGACAGAGAGGAAACCAAAGGAGAGCAAAUCAGGGGAUGGACAAAGUGUUGGAGACAGUGCCUCAGGGUUUAAAGUUUACAGUGCAGUUAAUGGGCCAUCAGUGUGUGGAGAGAAGAUGAUGACGAGGGCGAUGCAGCGGAAGGCUUCUUGUCAGAGCCGGAGGGGGAGAUGGAGCUGGAACCUGUGGCCAGCGAGAGCGAGGAUGGAUACAGCCUCCACACGGCCUCCUCAUCUCUGCAGCUCCACACCACCGCAGACUCCAUCCCCAGCAGCCCUGCCUCAUCCCAAUUUUCCAUGUGCAGUGAGGACCUGGAAGCUCUGCAGGCUCAGAAAAUCUGGAAGAAAGCCAUUAUGCUGGUGUGGCGUGCAGCUGCCAAUCACAGGUAUGCAAAUGUCUUCCUGCAACCAGUAACAGAUGAAAUUGCACCUGGGUACCACAGUAUUGUGCACAGGCCCAUGGACCUCGCCACCAUAAAAAAGAACAUAGAGACUGGUUUGAUACGGACCACAGCCGAGUUCCAGAGGGACAUCAUGCUGAUGUUUCAGAACGCCGUCAUGUACAACAGUCUGGAUCACGACGUGUACACAUGGCUCUAGAGAUGCAACGCGACGUCCUGGAGCAGAUCCAGCAGUUUCUAGCCACCCAGCUCAUCAUGGAGACAUCAGAGGCCGGCAUCAGCGCUAAGAGCCUGAGGGGCCGUGAGAGCACACGCAAACAGGACUCCACUGACAAGGUGCUUCACUAGAAUUUUGACAAAAGCAGAGAGUACAGAAGAAGAGACAAGGGACACUGUCUCCAUGUCAUCUCCUGCCUUCCUCCUUUCUCUUUUUGAUGGAGGCACCAGAGGGCGCCGUUGUGCUAUAGAAGCUGACCUCAAGAUGAGAAAUGACGCUACAGACCAAGGGUUGUCUGGACAGUUUCCCCGAGCUGAUGUGAAAAGUGUGAUGCCACAAGACUGAAUUUAUUCCGUGUCAGCUGUGCAGAUUCUCACCCUGCAGAACUGGCAGUGUAACCUCUCAUUUGCACUCUAGGUUUAAUGACUUUGUGUGGAGAAACUGACUACUUGAGACAGCAAUACAGUCAUGAAUUACAUUCUGUAUAAUCUCAGAUUACAAUGGGGCCUCCAGAAAGACUAGGUCAGACUUCGCACAGACAUAGAUGCAGAUCACAAAGGCUUGCCUGCUCUGAAUUACAGCAGGUUGUAGAAAUGAGUUACUACAAGUUACUACUUGUGUACGAAUGGGAAAAAGGUCGGUCAAUGGAGGAGGGGGGGGGGGUUAUAUAUUAACAGAGGCCAAAGAGUCUGAUUUAAACUCAAAUAUCUGACUGAUCAGGGGGGCACAUACUAAUUUUCAAAACAUUUUCAUGCUGGUUUAAACUAAGUUUCUCUAAUUUUAAAAGGUCUUUCCGAUCAUUAUUGGAUGUGAGUGUUAUUGUGAUGGAUUGAUAUUCUUGAUGCUACACUUCCUGUGAAACAGUACCUUCAUGCAUAUUCUGAGCUGUUUGCAGUAUUUUUGAGAUGUCAUGUUAAUUAUCUGUUUUGUGGGCUUUCAGAUGAAUAAAACUUCCAAAAGAG
Molecule: long non-coding RNA, 2378 nt
Organism: Notolabrus celidotus (New Zealand spotty)
Lineage: Eukaryota; Metazoa; Chordata; Actinopteri; Labriformes; Labridae
Exons: 10
Source: RefSeq, a predicted model, not a curated record